This 492-nucleotide ribosomal RNA is filed under the name uncultured bacterium. RNAcentral describes it as "partial 16S ribosomal RNA". It matches the Rfam family "Bacterial small subunit ribosomal RNA", at positions 29 to 507 of the family's 1533-position model. The record is from RNAcentral.
AGUGAACGCUGGCGGUAGGCCUAACACAUGCAAGUCGAACGGCAGCACAGUAAGAGCUUGCUCUUACGGGUGGCGAGUGGCGGACGGGUGAGGAAUACAUCGGAAUCUACUUUUUCGUGGGGGAUAACGUAGGGAAACUUACGCUAAUACCGCAUACGACCUACGGGUGAAAGCAGGGGAUCUUCGGACCUUGCGCGAUUGAAUGAGCCGAUGUCGGAUUAGCUAGUUGGCGGGGUAAAGGCCCACCAAGGCGACGAUCCGUAGCUGGUCUGAGAGGAUGAUCAGCCACACUGGAACUGGAACACGGUCCAGACUCCUACGGGAGGCAGCAGUGGGGAAUAUUGGACAAUGGGCGCAAGCCUGAUCCAACCAUACCGCGUGGGUGAAGAAGGCCUUCGGGUUGUAAAGCCCUUUUGUUGGGAAAGAAAAGCAGCAGGUUAAUACCCCGCUGUUCUGACGGUACCCAAAGAAUAAGCACCGGCUAACUUCGUG